CCUACGGGUGGCUGCAGUGAGGAAUAUUGGUCAAUGGACGCAAGUCUGAACCAGCCAUGCCGCGUGCAGGAAGAAGGUGCUAUGCAUUGUAAACUGCUUUUAUACGGGGGUAAUUACAGAUACGUGUAUCUGGAUGAAAGUACCGUAUGAAUAAGGAUCGGCUAACUCCGUGCCAGCAGCCGCGGUAAUACGGAGGAUCCGAGCGUUAUCCGGUUUUAUUGGGUUUAAAGGGUGCGCAGGCGGCGUGUCAAGUCAGCGGUAAAAUGUCGGGGCUCAACCCCGGCCGGCCGUUGAAACUGGCGUGCUCGAGUUGGAGAGAAGUAUGCGGAAUUCGUGGUGUAGCGGUGAGAUGCAUAGAUAUCCCGAAGAACCCCGAUUGCGAAGGCAGCAUACCGGCUCCACACUGACGCUGAGGCACGAAAGCGUGGGUAUCGAACAGGAUUAGAUACCCGGGUAGUC
This 459-nucleotide ribosomal RNA is filed under the name uncultured bacterium. RNAcentral describes it as "partial 16S ribosomal RNA". It matches the Rfam family "Bacterial small subunit ribosomal RNA", at positions 338 to 795 of the family's 1533-position model. The record is from RNAcentral.